CACACACGUUCACACUGAGGUCACAGAAACAGAGACGUUCACACACACGUUCACGCUGAGGUCACAGAAACAGAGACGUUCACACAAACAUUCACACUGAGGUCACAGAAACAGAGACAUUCACACACACACGUUCACGCUGAGGUCACAGAAACAGAGACAUUCACACACACGUGCACACUGAGGUCACAGAAACAGAGACAUUCACACACACGUGCACACUGAGGUCACAGAAACAGAGACGUUCACACACACGUGCACACUGAGGUCACAGAAACAGAGACAUUCACACACACACGUUCACGCUGAGGUCACAGAAACAGAGACAUUCACACACACGUUCACGCUGAGGUCACAGAAACAGAGACAUUCACACACACACGUUCACGCUGAGGUCACAGAAACAGAGACAUUCACACACACGUGCACACUGAGGUCACAGAAACAGAGACAUUCACACACACGUGCACACUGAGGUCACAGAAACAGAGACAUUCACACACACACGUUCACGCUGAGGUCACAGAAACAGAGACGUUCACACAAACAUUCACACUGAGGUCACAGAAACAGAGACAUUCACACACACGUUCACGCUGAGGUCACAGAAACAGAGACAUUCACACACACGUGCACACUGAGGUCACAGAAACAGAGACAUUCACACACACACGUUCACACUGAGGUCACUGAAACAGAGACAUUCACACACACACUUUCACACUGAGGUCACAGAAACAGAGACAUUCACACACACGUUCACACUGAGGUCACAGAAACAGAGACGUUCACACACACGUGCACACUGAGGUCACAGAAACAGAGACGUUCACACACACCGUGCACACUGAGGUCACAGAAACAGAGACAUUCACACACACGUUCACACUGAGGUCACAGAAACAGAGACGUUCACACACACGUGCACACUGAGGUCCCAGAAACAGAGACGUUCACACACACGUGCACACUGAGGUCACUGAAACAGAGACAUUCACACACCGUGCACACUGAGGUCACAGAAACAGAGACGUUCACACACACGUUCACACUGAGGUCACUGAAACAGAGACAUUCACACACACGUUCACACUGAGGUCACAGAAACAGAGACGUUCACACGCACGUGCACACUGAGGUCACAGAAACAGAGACGUUCACACACACGUGCACACUGAGGUCACAGAAACAGAGACGUUCACACUGCACCUUCCAAUUGUGCUGCAGUAAAACCUGCAGCAGGUUUUAAAAAGACUUGUUCUUAUCUGGACCAGAGAAGGCUCAUCAGAACUUUAUGAAGUGGUGGAGCUGAGACAGGAGAAAAGGACAGCAUGGGACAGGAGAACAGGAAAACAUGGGACAGGAGAACAGAAGAACAUGGAACAGGAGAACAGAAGAACAGGAGAACGUGGGACAGGAGAACAGGAGAACGUGGGACAGGAGAACAGAAAAACAUGGGACAGGAGAACAGAAGAACAGGAGAACAUGGGACAGGAGAACGUGGGACAGGAGAACAGGAGAACGUGGGACAGGAGACCAGUAGAACAUGAGACACGAGAACAGAAGACCAUGGGACAGGAGAAAAUGAGAACGUGGGACAGGAGAACAUGGGACAGGAGAAAAGGAGAACGUGGGACUGGAGACCAGUAGAACAUGAGACAGGAGAACAGAAGAACGUGGGACAGGAGAACAGAAGAAAAGGAGAACGUGAGACAGAAUUUCUUGUUGUAAGAUGUGUCCCUGUAUCAGCAGACUGAGGCAGCAGAAUUAAAAUCAGUGGGAGUCUCAACCACUGCUCCUGAAUCGUCACGUUUAUCACGUGUAGCCAAGGAAGUGGAUUUAAAAUAGUCCCAGACCAGAUCAAGGUCAGCCGUGUGUGAAACACCAAGGUCACUGUUAAACACACAAAACAUCAGGACGAUGGUUUGUUCUCAUAAAUCUAUAUAACCUGGUUUACUCUCAGAGAUCUUUCAGUCGCUCACAGACAACCUGUGUUUGUUAAAAUCAGAUCGAGUCGUGUCUAGUCCCGUGUCCAGAUUCACUCAGUCAUUAGAGUCACAUGUGUCCUUUAGUGAGGAUGAGGAUGAUGAUGAUGACCACUCCCAGUUGAGGUCUCCGAGUAAACCAGCUUAGAGUUUGUCCAGUAAUGAGUCAGCAAGUGAGGCUGAAGGUAGGCAGUAACAGCCGUUCUCUAACAUGAGAGCACUUUAAUUCAGAUUUAUCAUGAAAUGGAUCCUCCUCCUGUUUUUUAAUGUGUGGGCGGUUCUAAAGACAUCUUAGAUCCAUCAGUGUUGAUCAUGUGACUGCUGAUUUUCAGCAUCACUCAGACUCUUAUCUUAUUAACCAGCCUGUACACAGUGACGUCUCUCAUAGGAGAACGUUCUAUCUGUCAAACCACGAUCUUAUUUUAUUAACCAGACUGUACGCAGUGACGUCUCUCAGAGGAGAACGUUCUAUGAGUCAAACCACGAUCUUAUUCUAUUAACCAGACUGUACGCAGUGACGUCUCUCAGAGGAGAACGUUCUAUCUGUCAAACCACGUUCUUAUUUUAUUAACCAGACUGUACGCAGUGACGUCUCUCAGAGGAGAACGUUCUAUCAGUCAAACCACAAUCUUAUUUUAUAAACCAGCCUGUACGCAGUGACGUCUAUCAGAGGAGAACGUUCUAUCAGUCAAACCACAAUCUUAUUUUAUAAACCAGCCUGUACGCAGUGACGUCUAUCAGAGGAGAACAUUCUAUCAGAGUCGUCCCAUGUUCUUAUUUUAUUAACCAGCCUGUACGCAGUGACGUCUAUCAGAGGAGAACGUUCUAUCUGUCAAACCACGUUCUUAUUUUAUUAACCAGACUGUACGCAGUGACGUCUCUCAGAGGAGAACGUUCUAUCAGUCAAACCACAAUCUUAUUUUAUAAACCAGCCUGUACGCAGUGACGUCUAUCAGAGGAGAACAUUCUAUCAGUCAAACCACAAUCUUAUUUUAUAAACCAGCCUGUACGCAGUGACGUCUAUCAGAGGAGAACAUUCUAUCAGAGUCGUCCCAUGUUCUUAUGUUAUUAACCAGCCUGUACGCAGUG
Molecule: long non-coding RNA, 3074 nt
Organism: Epinephelus fuscoguttatus (brown-marbled grouper)
Lineage: Eukaryota; Metazoa; Chordata; Actinopteri; Perciformes; Serranidae
Exons: 7
Source: RefSeq, a predicted model, not a curated record